GGCAUCUUCUUGUUUUUAAAAGACCUAGCAAUAGGUAUGCUUAGGGAGGAGCUUGCGUCACAUUAGUUAGUUGGUGGGGUAAAGGCCUACCAAGACUAUGAUGUGUAGCCGGGCUGAGAGGUUGAACGGCCACAUUGGGACUGAGACACGGCCCAAACUCCUACGGGAGGCAGCAGUAGGGAAUUUUCGGCAAUGGAGGAAACUCUGACCGAGCAACGCCGCGUGAACGAUGAAGUAUUUCGGUACGUAAAGUUCUUUUAUUAGGGAAGAAUAAAUGAUGGAAAAAUCAUUCUGACGGUACCUAAUGAAUAAGCCCCGGCUAACUAUGUGCCAGCAGCCGCGGUAAUACAUAGGGGGCAAGCGUUAUCCGGAAUUAUUGGGCGUAAAGGGUGCGUAGGCGGUUAAAUAAGUUUAUGGUCUAAGUGCAAUGCUCAACAUUGUGAUGCUAUAAAAACUGUUUAGCUAGAGUAAGAUAGAGGCAAGUGGAAUUCCAUGUGUAGUGGUAAAAUGCGUAAAUAUAUGGAGGAACACCAGUAGCGAAGGCGGCUUGCUGGGUCUUUACUGACGCUGAGGCACGAAAGCGUGGGGAGCAAACAGGAUUAGAUACCCUGGUAGUCCACGCCGUAAACGAUGAGUACUAAACGUUGGGUAAAACCAGUGUUGAAGUUAACACAUUAAGUACUCCGCCUGAGUAGUACGUACGCAAGUAUGAAACUUAAAGGAAUUGACGGGACUCCGCACAAGCGGUGGAUCAUGUUGUUUAAUUCGAAGGUACCCGAAAAACCUCACCAGGUCUUGACAUGCUUCUGCAAAGCUGUAGAAACACAGUGGAGGUUAUCAGUUGCACAGGUGGUGCAUGGUUGUCGUCAGCUCGUGUCGUGAGAUGUUGGGUUAAGUCCCGCAACGAGCGCAACCCUUAUUGUUAGUUACCAGCACGUAAUGGUGGGGACUUUAGCAAGACUGCCAGUGAUAAAUUGGAGGAAGGUGGGGACGACGUCAAAUCAUCAUGCCCCUUAUGACCUGGGCUACAAACGUGAUACAAUGGCUGUUACAAAGGGUAGCUGAAGCGCAAGUUUUUGGCGAAUCUCAAAAAAACAGUCUCAGUUCGGAUUGAAGUCUGCAACUCGACUUCAUGAAGUUGGAAUCGCUAGUAAUCGCGAAUCAGCAUGUCGCGGUGAAUA
This 1181-nucleotide ribosomal RNA is filed under the name 'Brassica napus' phyllody phytoplasma. RNAcentral's name for it is "bacterial SSU rRNA". It matches the Rfam family "Bacterial small subunit ribosomal RNA", at positions 187 to 1368 of the family's 1533-position model. Lineage: Bacteria; Bacillati; Mycoplasmatota; Mollicutes; Acholeplasmatales; Acholeplasmataceae. The record is from RNAcentral.